CGUGCAGGACACUCAAACUCUAUACGAACCCGGACGUGCGUAGGUCGCGUUCAGCUGACUGGUUAUCAGAAGAGCAGCACCAAAAGGCAAACGUAAAGAGAGCAGCAGCGACGGAAGCCGCCUUUGAAAACAAGGAAGAUAAAGCGUCAACAGACAACACACACGCGCGCAGGGAAGAGAAGUAAGUGAGGACAACUUGGAAGGGGUCAAGAAGAGAAGCGAAAGUGAAAAAAAAAGAAAAAGGUCAGCACAGGCUUUUACACACAUACACACGGCGAGGAGUGCAACGACGGCCAACACCGACAUCGCUUGCGUGCGUCUGUCUGACUCCCGGCACUGGUCGUGUUCUGUUUUUCUCUUUUUUUGUACUGUUUCCCCGUCGCGCUGUUCAGCCCUUCUCUCUCAUCUCUUUCUUCGCUUUCGAGUGACUUUGCCCGCCACGACUUACCAACGAUCAGACAAAAAGAAGACACAAAAAAGGGUAUCGGUUUUUUUUUUUCGUCGUCUCCUCCGUCACCUCCAUUCUACCAUCUCACCACAUCACAAAAGGUUUUCCAGUUCAUCCUCCACCCCUUUACAACACACACGCACCUUUCAUCGCCACCUCCAGCCCAUUGGCCGAUUGUACCCCCCCCCCCCUCCCCCUCCAUCCCCGCUUGACUCAGAACACCCUUCCUAACUGCACUUUUUUUCUUACGCGUGCGCUCUCGCUAACUCUCUCUGUCUUGUGGACCCUCUCUCUGCGAAUCCGACGACCACGGAGCCUUUUUUUUUAUCCGGGUUUCUGUCUGCGUUUCUUAUUUUUUUUCCAUUGCAUACCAUACCUUCUCCCUCCUCCCAGUACACCCCUCUGUUUCUUUCGCACUGUUCUGUUCUUCUUCCUUUUGCUGCCAUUGCUGGGUGGUGGUGGUGGUGGUGGUGGGGAGUUGCUGUGGAUAUGGUGCUGCUAACGCCGGUGGCCAAACGGCUCGUAUACUGGUCCUGCCUCUCACUCUCGCUUUGCGUGCCCGUAUGCGUGUGUGCUCUUGCCUGGUCUCUUUUUCGUUUUACGCGGCCUCUUGUCUGACUGAGCUUCCUUGUCAUUUUCCUUCUCGCCCCCCUUUUUGCCCAUUUUUUUUACCACACGUCGACGUCUGCACACCUCUUUGUGUCGGUCGGUCUGCUUGUGUGGGGAUUUUGCGCUAUCUUGCUCUCUCUCUGUCUCUGUCUAGCUCUCCUCGUUACACCGUUGCGCUUGCUGCACCUCUUCAGCCCCUCUCCCCCUUGUUAAGUCUCCUCCCUUCCACAUAUACUUGGGUGCGCUCUCGGAUUCAUUUCUCCACCCGUUCCGUGCGUCAACUCGGCACUCGUUAUCUACUGUCUUCUCUAUUGCUUCUUUAGCCUCUUUCUUCGUUGGUGCCUUUCUUUGUGGUUUUUUGCGCGUGUGCUUCCUCUCCAGCGAGACCGUCGAGGCCACUAGCGUGGCAUCAGCAGGAGAGCGAUCGCCCCCCCUUCUCUCCACCACAGUGGACAGCGUGCGUUGCGUACAGGUGCGAGAGAGGUGAGUGACCCCAGGCAGAUUCAACGCAGUACAACGAGUGCACACGGAGAGCCCUACGUCCAAAAAACAACAACGCUUUUUUAGCAGAGGAACAGCGAGAUAGAAAGCAAGCAAAUCAACGAUUGCCACAAGAUCGAGCUGUCUUUUUUUUUGUUUUAGGUGUUUCACUGUUGUGCUCUGGAGGUCAUUGCCGCUAAAAGAUCGUCGGCGUGCGUCUUGUCCGCACAAGCGCCACCUUCUUCUCUUACUCAUCGUUUUUCGUUUUCCAUCCCCGCCCUCCAUUACCUGUAGGCGUGCGGAGAGUCCUUGUUGCCUCUGCACACGCAUUUCGCACGAAGAUACACACAUUGCUGCAACCGUCGCAUACCCCCCACCCUGCCUAUACUAUCUCGUAUAGUUUCGCGUACAGUACAAGAACAAGUCUUGCAUCAGUCAUCCGCGUACGCCUAGCCACACGCAUGUGAGCGCCAUCAUACGCCCAACGGAGAAGGUCAAACGCCGUUUUUUCACAUCACGAGAAAUCUCUCUCAUUUUUUUUUCACGUGCUCCUUCGUCUCAAUUCGUUUUCCCCCUGCCUCCGUUCUUUUUUUUUUUCAAACUGUCUGUGCCUCUCUCUCUUUCUGUUUCCCUUGCGUCGAUCAUUGAUUAGUGCGGAAGAUCUCCGAUUUGGUGGUUGUUCUCCCGCUCCUCCUCAUCGCUUUUUUUUACGUUACUUGUUGUGGAGUUUUUGUUCGUGCCAGUUUGUGCGUGUGUGUGUGUGUGCAUCUUUUCUUCUGGUGCUUUACUACUUGUUUUUUUUUCCUUUUAUUUUGUCGUGCGGCGGUGAUCCAUCAUCAUCUCUAUUUUUUUUUUCUCGGUGUGCGAUUCUCUUUUCGCUUGCCGUUUUUUAUCUUUUCGGCGUAGAACUCCUUCCCCGUUCUUAUUUCGUUCUUUUUUUUGCGUUUGCUUUAUUGUCUUACUGUCUUUGCUGUAUCUUGGCUUCUGCAUCACCCGCAGCCUUGACCCGCUUUUGUUCUCUUCCCUUCUGUCUUAUGUCCUAUUUUCAUUGUCGCCCAUACGUACCUGUACAACUGUGAGAUCAAGUUUUUGCUGGAUAGGUAGCUCAUUCAACGAUCCCUCUUUGCAUAAAGACAACUCUCUCUCUUGAUCUCUCUAUAUUUUGUGCUUUUAGAUAAACCGUUCGGACUGCUUUUUCGUUUAUGUGGAAGCGGGCGUUUUGUUUCAUGGUGUCUUCUGUUCUUUGUUUUCCACCAUCUCGGAUCAUUUCUCUUUCUCCCGUUUUAUGCUUCUUUUUUUUAGUCUAUCAAGCAAGUGCGCUGCCGGCGGGUCUGAGACUCUCUUCUCUCCUUUCUUUUUUCGCUUUUUUUUUUGUCUCUCGCCGUGUUGGCCAAUUCGCUGAAGUUCGCCUCUUGCCUCUCUCUUUUAUCUUUUUCCCUUCCGCUUUCCCCCGUCCCCAUUCUCUUCUCAUCUUGCUGAGCUGCAGCUCAUUUUAUGCUGUUCCUUACAUAUAUCGCCUCUGCUAAGUGCGCACCUUCUCCCUCUUUUUUAAACGACCCCAACAACAAAAAAAGCACCCUGUCGUCUUGCUCUUCCAUCCCCCGUCUCUUUCUGACUCAUCGCCGUUUUUCAGCGGUGCAUGCGUGUGUUUGUCUACAAAAAAGGGCGAUUUUUAGUUGUUCGCGUGAGCGAGUCAUUGCGCGCACGUGGGGUGCGCGUGCGUGUCUCUGGCUGUUUUCUUUUUUUGUGUCUCUCUGUCGUUUUUUUUUUUUCGUAUUCUUGCUCUUCCCCUCUCUGUGGUGGCUUGGCACCGCUUUCUUGCUAACACUCAACUUUUCACUGGCCUGGUCUCAAUUUCUCUCUGCUUUCCUCUUCCACGUCGUCACUCCGACGCAGCUUUCACCGCGGCGUCCUUUUUCUCUUUGCUCCGCGUGAGGUUCUCUGUUGUUGGAUAUGCGUGAGGGGAGCGAAAACAGAACCCCUCCCCCCCCCCAAGAAAAGACGACUGGCGGCCAGACAUUCCCACCUCACCGACAAGCAACAAGGCCAAAGCAUAUAUUAGGCAGGAAGAGAGGAAAGACAACAGAAAACUAACGGGGCAAGCGCCAGAGUACUGCGUGCGUGCGUUUGGACGCGCCUGCGCCACGACGGCGGCAAGAGGCGACAACGGCCAACAGAGAGAAAUCACCACCCACCAGCAUCCUCACCACCGCCUUCUGGUAGAUCUGUUUUGCUUCUCGCGCUGGUUUUCUUUUUUAUCGCCGCGCUUAUCACCCGCAUCGGUGGAGGGGUGUUCCGGGGCAACUUUGUGUUCUUGUCUGCGUUUCUGUUCUCAUCCCUCUCCACUCGCUCGCUUUGUGGCCCUCCUCUUGCUUCCUUGUGUGUGUGUGUGUGUGUUUCCGCACCCUCCCUUUUGUUUUCAUUCCACAUCGCGUCUGCGGGGAUGCAG
RNAcentral lists this unclassified non-coding RNA (3986 nucleotides) under Leishmania donovani. RNAcentral describes it as "gene:unknown". The record is from RNAcentral. Lineage: Eukaryota; Euglenozoa; Kinetoplastea; Trypanosomatida; Trypanosomatidae.